Non-coding RNA from Angiostrongylus cantonensis (rat lungworm), 82 nucleotides. NCBI's taxonomy places the organism in Eukaryota, Metazoa, Nematoda, Chromadorea, Rhabditida, Metastrongylidae. The record is from Rfam.
ACCGUCUAGGCAAUCGGUUUUCACCCUGGUCUCAGAGUUAAAUGAAUCUGAGAUCAUCGUGAAAGCUAGUUGUCUUACUAUA